CCAAUAGCGUAUAUUAAAGUUGUUGCAGUUAAAAAGCUCGUAGUUGAAUUUCGGGGUCAGUAGAUUGGUCGCGCCACUGGUAUGCACUGGUCUUACUGGCUCCUCCUUCCUGAUGAACCGUAAUGCCAUUAAUUUGGUGUUGCGGGGAAACUGGACUGUUACUUUGAAAAAAUUAGAGUGUUUAAAGCAGGCUAACGCUUGAAUACAUUAGCAUGGAAUAAUGAAAUAGGACGUUCGAUCCUAUUUUGUUGGUUUCUAGGAUUGACGUAAUGAUUAAUAGGGAUAGUUGGGGGCAUUAGUUAUCAAUUGUCAAAGGUGAAAUUCUUGGAUUUAUUGAAGACUAACUACUGCGAAAGCAUUUGCCAAGGAUGUUUUCAUUAAUCAAGAACGAAAGUUAGGGGAUCGAAGACGAUCAGAUACCGUCGUAGUCUUAACCAUAAACUAUGCCGACUAGGGAUCGGAUGAUGUUAAUUUUUUAAUGACUCAUUCGGCGCCUUACG
Molecule: ribosomal RNA, 500 nt
Filed under: uncultured Glomeromycotina
Lineage: Eukaryota; Fungi; Glomeromycota
Description: partial small subunit ribosomal RNA
Rfam family: Eukaryotic small subunit ribosomal RNA
Source: RNAcentral